AACCUCAUUCCGCCCCAUCUGUCCACUCACAGGACGGGGCGGAGCUGCCACUCUCUCUCUCUCCCUCCCUCUUCUGUGCAACCUCUGUUUUGGCAAAUGGCCUUUUGGCCAAAAAAGAAAAAUAAAAAGGCAGCCAGACUUCCAGCUACAGAAUAACAAGUAUCUAUUGCCAGACAACGGGAGGGACAAAAUAUUCAGACACAUGGGCAAUUUCCUGUUGGCUGGUGACAAGAUAAAAGUGCUUUCAUAUACUUGUGGAUGACUUGGCUCUCCGAGCCCCAGCCUUCUCCUCAUCUCCCAGUUCCCCCUCACAUGCUGCCUUUCAGCGAGUCAGAGCGGUGCCAACCCAGAGCAGCACUCACAAAGAAGUGAAGAACAGUUCUUAAGAGCAAAAGCCUUGGAACCAGACUGGUUUGGAUCCCAGUUCUGACAGCCCAGCGAGGGGCCCCAGCGUGACUUCAAAGGGAACAACUCUAAGCGCCGGAUGACAACGUCGAUACCAAGUCCAGCCCCACCUCCAAUACUCUCGGCCGCCACCACAGCGCAGGCCCAGCUUUGGGCACCUGGGAUCCGUUGGAGGCUGUGACCUUGGGCAUUCGCCACGCCCCCCUGAGCCUCAGUUUCCCCGGCUGUUAACUGGGAGAUCGCUUCCUUGGUUUGAAGAGAUUUGGGGUCUGGGGACCUGGAGGUGCUCGGUCUCAGCAGUUGCGCGUGUAAAGCUCUCAGCCCCUAGGACCUUGACUCAUCAUGUUGGUCUCCAGCGAGUCGGAGGCCAGCCCAGCUCAGCCCAGAUUCAAGAGUGAAGGGGUUAGAUUUCUCCGACUUGAUGGGAAGUGGCAAGGGCACGGGUGGCGGGGCUUGUGGAGUGGGAAAUAUUGUGACCAUCUUUAGAAACGGCAAUCUACAACAGUUUUCGACUGUUAAAUGCAAUAAAGAUACUAAUCUUUGGUCUCCAUUCUGCAGAAAAAGAAACUGAGGCUUACAGAAACGAAGCCUUCCCCGAGGCCUCUUAUCCUCAUCCUCUUCUCCUGCCUGACCCCCUGGUAGCACUCAGAGAAUAAAGCGUCUGCCUGCAAUGCGGGAGACCUGGGUUCGAUCCCUGGGUUGGGAAGAUCCCCUGGAGAAGGAAAUGGCAACCCACUCCAGUAUUCCUGCCUGGAGAAUCCCAUGGACAGAGGAGCCUGGUGGGCUACAGUCCAUGGAGUUGCAAAGAGUUGGACACGACUGAGUCACUUCAUACUUCACUUCAAGGAUCCAAAGUGUUUCUAGAUCUUUGCUAUUUUUAAGCAGGGGAAAAAAAAAAUAGCAUGGAGAAUUGUUGCUUGGAAAACCACUGGAAAAGGUGGAGGAGUGGACAUUAGACCGGGCCCCCAGGAAAGAGCAACACCAGCGGGCAAGGGGAGUGGCCCCUCAGUCACCAGCGGGAAGAUAAGUGUCAGGGGCAAACUAGUGAAAAGAAUGAAUUUUAGAGCACAUUGCCAGAGACAGUGACCCCAGGAUCAGAAAGCUGCCACUGCAGCUGCCUUCCACAAAACAGGCCACUGGACACCAGAAGGCAGGGUCAGGCUGAGGCUUCUGUCACCACUAACCGUCCACACUCGUGGGCUGGCAACAGGACACCUGGAUUCUGCUGCAGAAAACCCCACAUCUCUGCCAACUUGUUGACCAGCAGCAAACAACCCAAGCCACAGGAGGAUGCCUCUGCCUUCAAAAUAUUUUAUGAGUGCAUCCAGUUAACAGAAAGAAAUUAGUACCCAGAAACCUAGCUGCAAAGGAAAAUUAUAGCCAUUCUGACCAGAAGGUGCACAAGAAAGGGAUGGGAAUGCAUGUGCCCAAAUUCAGUACCCCGAGACCGCCCUCUAACCUGCCCCCACCUUGUCUCACUGGGUAGAACUGAGUCACAUGAUACUGUUAGCUGCAGGGAAGUCUGGAAUUUGAGGAUCCUGCAAAGAAACAGACUUGGCUUAGAUCAGAGCAGGUACACUGUCCUCCUGAACACAGUUGGGAUUCUAUUGGCAGGGAGGUAGAGGAGGAUGGCUGGGGGGAUGGUAUGGGGGAAUGGUAAUUCCAGAAAGUGGAUGGGGCUGUGUGCCCAUGCAUGGUGGUGAGUGUCACAUGGGAAGUGCACGUGUACCAGGGCGAAGGGGAACAAGUCAGUGUGUGUAUGUGAGGGGGUUGAAAUGGAAAGGGGGCUGGAAUGCUGGAGGAAGAAGAAAGGAUUUUUCCCUUCUGAUGGAGGAAUUACUCUGCCCCAGUUUCCAGGAGAAUCUGCCUGGGGGUCCAGGGCCUCAGAGUUACUCACUGUGGCUCAUUUCUGUAGGAAUGUGGGAAGGUAGAUCUGGCAGACAGACUGUGUUAAAAUAAAAAGUGGACAAUAUUUAGGACAAAUUGCCUCAUUUUCUCCAAUUACAUAUUCUGAUUGUACCUGUGUAUUUAUUCCAGUUCUCUUUCUCUGUCAGAUUCUGCAGUGCCUAUUCUAAACAUUUUCUGCCCACCUGGGGUCCUCCCUCCUUCCCUGAUGCCUUUCUCUCUUGGCACACACCCUUGCCUCCUACCUCUCAGGGGAAGCCUGGUCUUAACCAAUGGCUCCAGCCCACCUCCUUGUUUCCCUCCACCAUCCUCCACCUCCUGCUUCAGUCCCCUUUUCCAAACCAAACCAAACUACUCAUUCCCACGUAUGGCUUCAUGCCUCCUCUCUGUUCAUUUCCAAUCAGCAUUCAUUAUUCUGAACACCUGCCAUGUUCCAACAGUGCCUAUACAGUGAAAAUAAGAUUCUGUUGUUUCGUGAGCUGGUGGUUAGCAUCACAACUUUG
This is a long non-coding RNA of Cervus elaphus (red deer), 2813 nucleotides long. RefSeq lists it as uncharacterized. NCBI's taxonomy places the organism in Eukaryota, Metazoa, Chordata, Mammalia, Artiodactyla, Cervidae. The record is from RefSeq and is a predicted model, not a curated record. The transcript has 4 exons.